Molecule: ribosomal RNA, 506 nt
Filed under: uncultured bacterium
Lineage: Bacteria
Description: bacterial SSU rRNA
Rfam family: Bacterial small subunit ribosomal RNA
Source: RNAcentral
AAAGGGAGCGCAGGCUGCACUUUAAGCGUGUUGUGAAAUGUACCGGCUCAACCGGUAACGUGCAGCGCGAACUGGGGUGCUUGAGUACGAAGAGGGAAAGCGGAACUCGUGGUGUAGCGGUGAAAUGCUUAGAUAUCACGAGGAACUCCGAUCGCGAAGGCAGCUUUCCGUUUCGGAACUGACGCUGAGGCUCGAAAGUGCGGGUAUCGAACAGGAUUAGAUACCCUGGUAGUCCGCACGGUAAACGAUGGAUGCUCGCUGUUGGAUAUUUUUAUUCAGUGGCUAAGUGAAAACGUUAAGCAUCCCACCUGGGGAGUACGCCGGCAACGGUGAAACUCAAAGGAAUUGACGGGGGCCCGCACAAGCGGAGGAGCAUGUGGUUUAAUUCGAUGAUACGCGAGGAACCUUACCCGGGCUUGAAUUGCAGCUGAACGAUCCAGAGAUGGUGAGGCCCUUCGGGGCAGCUGUGAAGGUGCUGCAUGGUUGUCGUCAGCUCGUGUCGUGAG